Molecule: ribosomal RNA, 435 nt
Filed under: uncultured Lachnospiraceae bacterium
Lineage: Bacteria; Bacillati; Bacillota; Clostridia; Lachnospirales; Lachnospiraceae
Description: partial 16S ribosomal RNA
Rfam family: Bacterial small subunit ribosomal RNA
Source: RNAcentral
ACGGAAGGCAGCAGUGGGGAAUAUUGCGCAAUGGAGGAAACUCUGACGCAGCAACGCCGCGUGAGUGAUGAAGUAUUUCGGUAUGUAAAGCUCUAUCAGCAGGGAAGAUAAUGACGGUACCUGACUAAGAAGCACCGGCUAAAUACGUGCCAGCAGCCGCGGUAAUACGUAUGGUGCAAGCGUUAUCCGGAUUUACUGGGUGUAAAGGGAGCGUAGGUGGUCUAGCAAGCCAGAAGUGAAAACCCGGGGCUCAACCCCGUGGAUUGCUUUUGGAACUGUUGGACUAGAGUGCAGGAGGGGUAAGUGGAAUUCCUAGUGUAGCGGUGAAAUGCGUAGAUAUUAGGAGGAACACCAGUGGCGAAGGCGGCUUACUGGACUGUAACUGACGUUGAGGCUCGAAAGCGUGGGGAGCAAACAGGAUUAGAUACCCUGGUA